RNAcentral lists this ribosomal RNA (1008 nucleotides) under human skin metagenome. RNAcentral's name for it is "bacterial LSU rRNA". It matches the Rfam family "Bacterial large subunit ribosomal RNA", at positions 1923 to 2925 of the family's 2925-position model. The record is from RNAcentral.
GUAAACGGCGGCCGUAACUAUAACGGUCCUAAGGUAGCGAAAUUCCUUGUCGGGUAAGUUCCGACCUGCACGAAUGGCGUAAUGAUGGCCAGGCUGUCUCCACCCGAGACUCAGUGAAAUUGAACUCGCUGUGAAGAUGCAGUGUACCCGCGGCAAGACGGAAAGACCCCGUGAACCUUUACUAUAGCUUGACACUGAACACUGGUCCUUGAUGUGUAGGAUAGGUGGGAGGCUUUGAAGUGCGGACGCCAGUCUGCAUGGAGCCGCCCUUGAAAUACCACCCUUUAAUGGCUGGUGUUCUAACGUGGGCCCGUGAUCCGGGUUGCGGACAGUGUCUGGUGGGUAGUUUGACUGGGGCGGUCUCCUCCUAAAGAGUAACGGAGGAGCACGAAGGUCAGCUAAUCCUGGUCGGACAUCAGGAGGUUAGUGCAAUGGCAUAAGCUGGCUUGACUGCGAGCGUGACGGCGCGAGCAGGUGCGAAAGCAGGUCAUAGUGAUCCGGUGGUUCUGAAUGGAAGGGCCAUCGCUCAACGGAUAAAAGGUACUCCGGGGAUAACAGGCUGAUACCGCCCAAGAGUUCAUAUCGACGGCGGUGUUUGGCACCUCGAUGUCGGCUCAUCACAUCCUGGGGCUGAAGUAGGUCCCAAGGGUAUGGCUGUUCGCCAUUUAAAGUGGUACGCGAGCUGGGUUUAGAACGUCGUGAGACAGUUCGGUCCCUAUCUGCCGUGGGCGUUGGAGAACUGAGGGGGGCUGCUCCUAGUACGAGAGGACCGGAGUGGACGCAUCACUGGUGUUCGGGUUGUCAUGCCAAUGGCACUGCCCGGUAGCUAAAUGCGGAAGAGAUAAGUGCUGAAAGCAUCUAAGCACGAAACUUGCCCCGAGAUGAGUUCUCCCUGACUCCUUGAGAGUCCUGAAGGAACGUUGAAGACGACGACGUUGAUAGGCCGGGUGUGUAAGCGCAGCGAUGCGUUGAGCUAACCGGUACUAAUGAACCGUGAGGCUUAACCUU